Molecule: ribosomal RNA, 315 nt
Filed under: uncultured eukaryote
Lineage: Eukaryota
Description: partial 18S ribosomal RNA
Rfam family: Eukaryotic small subunit ribosomal RNA
Source: RNAcentral
CCCUUAGAUGUUCUGGGCUGCACGCGCGCUACACUGAUGCAUUCAACGAGUAUAGAACCUUGCCCGGAAGGGUUGGGUAAUCUUCUCAAAGUGCAUCGUGAUGGGGAUAGAUUAUUGUAAUUAUUAAUCUUGAACGAGGAAUUCCUAGUAAGUGCGAUUCAUCAGAUCGCGCUGAUUACGUCCCUGCCCUUUGUACACACCGCCCGUCGCUCCUACCGAUUGGGUGAUCCGGUGAAUAAUUUGGACCUUGAGGCCUUCGGGUUUUAGGGGAAAUUUAGUGAACCUUAUCACCUAGAGGAAGGAGAAGUCGUANCA